Betta splendens (Siamese fighting fish) is the source of this 3018-nucleotide long non-coding RNA. Ensembl lists it as uncharacterized. The record is from Ensembl. Lineage: Eukaryota; Metazoa; Chordata; Actinopteri; Anabantiformes; Osphronemidae.
ACAGCGAUCCAGCUUCUCCCUCUCCUGCCCAGCUGGGUUAAAGCAGCCAGUGGGUGGGACACAGCUUUCAUUGGUUUUCAUUCGCCGUCGCCACCUGGAACCAAACCCACUAAUCAGUGCAGUUUGACCAGCAAACCUUCAGGUGAGUCCACAGCUUGAACUCUACAAACCAUGCUAGAACCGCUUUGGUGGAUUGGUAGUAGUCAAAUUUGUUGAUAUGGAGGCAGUUAAUUCUAUGUUGCAACACUCGUAUGGUCUGGGCCCACCACAUGGAGCUCAGCGGGCCCAGGGGCCCAGCCCGUCCGGUCCAGGACCAGCUCCAGGAGUGUGUCCUGAGGAGCAUCACCAGCAUAACCAGCAUAACCAGCAGCACCAGCAGCACCAACAGCACCAGCAUAACCAGCAUAACCAACAGCACCAGCAUAACCAGCAUAACCAACAGCACCACAAACCGUUCUUCUUCAUACAGCCAUCGCAGCCAUACCUGCCCAUGCAGAGCCUGCAGUGGCCUGUGCCCAUGCCCAUGCCUGUGGCCUACAACCCCUUCUAUGGCUUCCCUGGUCUCGGCUACGGCAUGCCGGUGAUGCCACACUAUCAGGCGAACCCCUGCCUGGAGCCACCCGGCUUUGUUCUACCCCACUCCCAUCUCCAUCUGACAGACUACAGGCGCAUGCUCAACCCCCAGUACUACCAGACCAUGGCCUACCACUCCCGCAGGUUCCGCUACCAGCAGAACGCUCCCGCUAGAGAAAUGACCAGCUCUGAGGUCCAAACGGAGCCGCUGUCGGCCCCCCAGAGGACCAGCACCCCAACUUCCAGUGCUGCUGAAGCCUCUAGUGUUCUCCCAGUGUGUAGCAGUGAUGCGCACCCCGCCAGCCAGGCGCUUUCACCAGUCUUGGCUAUGCAGGAGGAGGACCGUUCUCUGGAGGUGACGUCUUCCACGCCGCCACAAAAUGGCGGCUUUGUGAUUCAGACUGAGGAGGUGAGGAUUGAAUGCUGCGCUACACCAGUAGGACUGCAGCUCCUGCACGCUCACAAGACAGCAGAAAUGUCCCACGCUUAUUCCCAAGAUGUUGUCCAGUGCAGCUCCAUCCUCCAGGGUCAUGUGCUGCAGGAUGACGGACUGGGCCUUUCUGCAGACCAGUCGGAGCAAGCGCUUCAAGCCUGUCCUGACAUCCUCCUCGGUGGGACGUCCAGUCCUGGAGACAAGGUCCCUGCUCUGGAGGAGACGCAGCCAAACCUGAAGGGCGACUUUGAGAAUGAUCCAAGAACAGUUUCCAAAAAUUCUGACUUUAAAGUUGUUCAUCUUCCCUUUGACCCAAACUACUUGGACGAGCUGCGGAGGAUGGAGUCCACUGUUUGGUCAGUGGAAGAAACUCUGGUUCCUGCCCCUGAAUCUCUGGUCCAGAGCAGCUGCACAGACUCUCCUGAUGAAAUGGCUGUCGUGCCCUCAGCAGAUAUGCUAAUAAUAGAAGAUCUUCCUACAGACGACGUUGUCCCUAGAGUUGACCUGGAGGACAUGGUCCCCACUGGGGAUGAGAUGGUGUUUGAAGCUUUGUGUUCUGUAGUGGAUGUUGCAGAGGAAGCUCCUGUUACGAAGACCUCACACACAGCAGAGGUGGAUCUUGGCCACAGUUUGCUCAUGUUAGAAAACCCUCCCCUUAAUACAGAGGUAUACAGAAACCAACUUAAAGAAGCCUUCAAUGUUCAGGACCACCAGGAUACUUCCUUUGAGUCCUUACCAGCGUACCUUCCCUCGACGAGCUGGCUGGCGGACUUUGACAAUGUGCAUUACUGCAGCAAGAAGAUGCCACCAACUCCCAAGAAGCAGAACAGACCUCUGUCCAACCGUGGCUCGGACGUGUCUAAUCGUGGAUUGGACGUCCCGAGCCGAAGAAGAAAGCUCGACCUCGAGUACAAGAACCAGUCUAAACCUAGAGAGAGGUACAAGCCCAAAGGCAAGGGCAGCCAGCGCAGCCUCUCUGACCAUGAAUGCUGCCUGAGCAGAGGUUUCAACGAGAACGCCUUCUCCACAUACGUGUCUAACAUGGAGCGACUUUGCUCCAGAUGUCUGGCAAAACACAGGGUUUGCACAUCUACUGGUCCAGCAUUUGAAGGACGAAGCCUGAAAAGGAAAGCGGCUCCCUUCCAUCAGUGGAAUGACGCUUUCUUGCCAACCUGUGAAAGCUGUAAAUCUCACAGGAAGCGGCGUCUGAUGAGAAAAGGCUCCAAUCCUGACGUUCGCGUUGUGUAUCAUGGACGCGACACUGAAGGCGAAUCGUCUGAGAACACCUCCUGCCACAUGACUCAAAAAUGGAGGACCGGCGACGACCCCAGGAAGCCAGCAGACGUCACAAGACCGCUGGCCUCCAAACAGAACCUGGAGAGGUAUCCCACAGCAACGUACCCGAGGCUGAGGGAGAAGAACUGCCUGCGUAACGAGCCGCAUCACGCCGGUGCCCGGGAGAGACCGCACCGCUGUCCCCACGGCAACGCCGUCAGAGAAAUGGACGAGAACUGCGUCCUGUCGCCUCCUUUUCAGGACAAACGGAGGAACAGGGACCAGGUUUAUGUGACGCACAGAUGGCAAAUCGGUGAGCGAACGGCGUUGAUUGAUGUGAAGUAAUGUGAUCAAAGCUCUCAGCUUCCCCGUUAAUGCAGUAAAUCCACCCUUGGGUUUAUCUUUUUGAUGAUUUUUCUAUCAGCAGAAAAGUCAUGCAAACCGGUGAUGCCAAACCCAGAUGGCUCCAGCAAUGAAGCCAGAGCACAGAACAAACACAGGAAAUCACACGCACAAGGUUUGCUUUGACUUUCAUAGUGCUUUUUAAAAUCACAGUAUUCUCAGAUUAUUUGAAUGUUUCAUUUUCUCUCCCCAGGAAUUCUUAGAAAAGACACAAGAUGUUGAUUUGCACAAGAGCACAAUUUAGGAAAAAGCACUUUUAAAGAAAUGUCCACUUUUAAUUUAAGUAUUUUCACUUAAUAUAUUUAUAAUAAAUCACUAUGUUCACUAUUUAUUCA